RNAcentral lists this ribosomal RNA (852 nucleotides) under uncultured bacterium. Its description in RNAcentral is "bacterial SSU rRNA". It matches the Rfam family "Bacterial small subunit ribosomal RNA", at positions 601 to 1454 of the family's 1533-position model. The record is from RNAcentral.
CCCCGAGCUUAACUUGGGAACUGCGUUUUGAACUGGUAAGCUAGAGUAUNUCAGAGGGGGAUAGAAUUCCACGUGUAGCAGUGAAAUGCGUAGAGAUGUGGAGGAAUACCGAUGGCGAAGGCAGCCCCCUGGGAUAAUACUGACGUUCAUGCUCGAAAGCGUGGGUAGCAAACAGGAUUAGAUACCCUGGUAGUNCACGCCCUAAACGAUGUCAAUUAGCUGUUGGGCAACAUGAUUGCUUAGUAGCGUAGCUAACGCGUGAAAUUGACCGCCUGGGGAGUACGGUCGCAAGAUUAAAACUCAAAGGAAUUGACGGGGACCCGCACAAGCGGUGGAUGAUGUGGAUUAAUUCGAUGCAACGCGAAGAGCCUUACCUGGUCUUGACAUGUACGGAAUCUUCCAGAGACGGAAGAGUGCCUUCGGGAGCCGUAACACAGGUGCUGCAUGGCUGUCGUCAGCUCGUGUCGUGAGAUGUUGGGUUAAGUCCCGCAACGAGCGCAACCCUUGUCAUUAGUUGCCACCAUUCAGUUGGGCACUCUAAUGAGACUGCCGGUGACAAACCGGAGGAAGGUGGGGAUGACGUCAAGUCCUCAUGGCCCUUAUGACCAGGGCUUCACACGUCAUACAACGGUCGGUACAGAGGGUAGCCAAGCCGCGAGGUGGAGCCAAUCUCAGAAAACCGAUCGUAGUCCGGAUUGCACUCUGCAACUCGAGUGCAUGAAGUCGGAAUCGCUAGUAAUCGCAGGUCAGCAUACUGCGGUGAAUACGUUCCCGGGUCUUGUACACACCGCCCGUCACACCAUGGGAGUGGGGGAUACCAGAAGUAGGUAGGCUAACCGCAAGGAGGCCGCU